AGACUACCAGGUCGAUAGGCCGGAUGUGGAAGCACGGUAACGUGUGAAGCUAACCGGUACUAAUUAGUCGAUUGGCUUGACCAC
This 84-nucleotide ribosomal RNA is filed under the name Planctomycetota bacterium. RNAcentral's name for it is "Planctomycetes bacterium (activated sludge metagenome) partial 23S ribosomal RNA". It matches the Rfam family "Bacterial large subunit ribosomal RNA", at positions 2842 to 2925 of the family's 2925-position model. Lineage: Bacteria; Pseudomonadati; Planctomycetota. The record is from RNAcentral.